GGAGAAACGAGGAAGGAGACACAUCAGAGUUUACAGUGCUUAGUUCUUAAGUACUUUAAGUUUAGUUCAUAGUUUGUUUGUCAGUCACCCUACUUUGAUGGUGUUCGUGCGUGAACUACAAAACCACACAUUAGCAUCAAAGUGUAAAGGACAAAGUCUGCAUUAAAACCCAUCUAAAUCAACUACGGACUGCCUUUUGAGUUCUGACCGGACUCACCACAGUGAUUUGACCUUAUCCACCAGCAUUAUACGUUCACUAGUUUUACAACUAGCAUUCACAAGUUGAGGCCCAACCUAAAUCGGUUCUUACAGCGUAAGGCUCAUUGUCACCACCAGUGAUGACCUCUCUUGGAGCCAGGGCUCUGGAGCAAUCGUAACCUAUCAACAGUCCAGCAGCACAGUCCAUUAAUGGAGGGAUAUAUUUUGCUAAGUUAGCAAGGAGUGGCCAUUUUUUGGCUGUUUGACACGUGGGAGUAUGAGCAUGUUCUAGUAAGUAAGUAAGUAAGUAAUAUUUAUUUAUAUAGCAC
This 527-nucleotide long non-coding RNA is filed under the name Gouania willdenowi (blunt-snouted clingfish). RNAcentral's name for it is "lncRNA (ENSGWIG00000012689.1)". The record is from RNAcentral. Lineage: Eukaryota; Metazoa; Chordata; Actinopteri; Blenniiformes; Gobiesocidae.